Molecule: non-coding RNA, 768 nt
Organism: Lactuca sativa (garden lettuce)
Lineage: Eukaryota; Viridiplantae; Streptophyta; Magnoliopsida; Asterales; Asteraceae
Source: RefSeq, a predicted model, not a curated record
UUUUCUUCACACCAUAAGCCUUUCUUUCUCUCUCUAACUUCUCUCUAGCCUCCCUAAACCCCUCCCAAGUCUACGGAACCUCCCUAGCACGAGAAGAAAGCCCCGGAGCGCCCGACGGCUCCGAGAAGAAAAGCUUUCGGCUUGGAAACGCUGCUCCAGCGAAGCCCGGUUGUUAAUAAAAACUCGUUGUUUUGUCGAGGAAAAUUGUUUUGAGAUAACGAAGUGCUGUCUGAGUUCGGAAUCACCACCUAAUCAGGUGUUGAUAUGAAGUGACAUUACACUGAGAGAUUUAAAGAGAUGUAGAUCACUAGUGUAAAUAAUUCUGGUGUCCUCGAUCAGUGGUGACAGUUGUUUUCUGAGUAUUCAAGGCAACCGUUGUGUCGGUCGAUGCUUUGGAGGUGCUGGAAUUAUGAUCUUGCAUGUUUCUUCCAAGAUUAGGUCUGAUCGAGCGGUGUAGAAAUUUGGCAGAGGGGUGGAUUGUUGGAUCAAAGUGGCGAGGCUUUCAUAUUUAUCUCUAAGGUCGUUUAUUAAUUGAUGGAUGGUAGGGUUCAAAAUAUUCCAUGGAUUAUGACAAUGGCCCCCCUUGAUGAUAUGUAGGUUAUUGACCCAAGAUUUGUUUUAUUCCCUAUAUAAAGUCAUGUAUUAUUCAUUAUCAGGGUUAAGAGUAAGGCAAGAUGUAGCCGCCAAUCAUAAUGAGGUUUCUUAGGUAGAAUAGAUUUACUUUAAUCUUUUCUUAUAGUGUAAUUUCCUCAUGUUCUUGAAUAAAAU